Molecule: long non-coding RNA, 201 nt
Filed under: Homo sapiens (human)
Lineage: Eukaryota; Metazoa; Chordata; Mammalia; Primates; Hominidae
Description: long non-coding RNA NONHSAT216032
Source: RNAcentral
UCCCGCAGAAAUCCUGUGGAGGGGUCUGAGUGGCGCUACAGCUUCAGCUUGCAUUCCUCUGUCAGCCCCGUCUCCCCCAGGUCCUCUGCUCGCCCUUACCAGUUGAGCCGAACCCUUUGGAUUGGUACCCCAUGGAACACCAGGGCCCCCGAGAAGCGUGGCGCUGGCGGUGCCGACCUGCUGCUGGCACUGCCGGGCCGG